CUGAGGACUGGUGCUUGCACCGGUCCAAGGAGUUGCGAACGGGUGAGUAACGCGUAGGUAACCUACCUCAUAGCGGGGGAUAACUAUUGGAAACGAUAGCUAAUACCGCAUAAAAGUGUUUAACACAUGUUAACCAUUUAAAAGGUGCAAUUGCAUCACUAUGAGAUGGACCUGCGUUGUAUUAGCUAGUUGGUGAGGUAACGGCUCACCAAGGCGACGAUACAUAGCCGACCUGAGAGGGUGAUCGGCCACACUGGGACUGAGACACGGCCCAGACUCCUACGGGAGGCAGCAGUAGGGAAUCUUCGGCAAUGGACGGAAGUCUGACCGAGCAACGCCGCGUGAGUGAAGAAGGUUUUCGGAUCGUAAAGCUCUGUUGUUAGAGAAGAAUGAUGGUGGGAGUGGAAAAUCCACCAUGUGACGGUAACUAACCAGAAAGGGACGGCUAACUACGUGCCAGCAGCCGCGGUAAUACGUAGGUCCCGAGCGUUGUCCGGAUUUAUUGGGCGUAAAGCGAGCGCAGGCGGUUCUUU
RNAcentral lists this ribosomal RNA (533 nucleotides) under intestinal bacterium CPA-138-RS. RNAcentral's name for it is "bacterial SSU rRNA". It matches the Rfam family "Bacterial small subunit ribosomal RNA", at positions 69 to 584 of the family's 1533-position model. The record is from RNAcentral.